Long non-coding RNA from Oncorhynchus tshawytscha (Chinook salmon), 465 nucleotides. Lineage: Eukaryota; Metazoa; Chordata; Actinopteri; Salmoniformes; Salmonidae. The record is from Ensembl.
GGGGAAGCCUGAGUUUCUUCUCGUGAAAGAAGGAAAAAUGUAUAGGAAAUAGGCCUGUCAACGAACAGAGACUGGAUUUGUACGGUUUUAAGCUAUAUCAAGGAAAUAACUUACUUAUUUCAACCAAGACACAUCAGGAAAUAGUCGUUCCUCGGACGUUCUCUGCCAGAAUUAGAUUGAGAGAUCAUUCACAGCUUUGUGGAAGUUACCUGUGGCGUUGAUGUUAAGGCCAAGGCUCCAGGUCAGUGGGUGUAGUGGAGUAGAGGCAUCCCAGGGAGGAGUGAGAUUCUGGGGAUGAGAGGUACCUCCUCCCUCCCUGUCUCCCGCAGAGAAUCAGGAGAACACUGGGACUCACUAACAGGUAGAAACGGAAAGGAACGGUUGCUGGCCGGAAGGAGCAGGAGAGAGAAAAUGGGAUGAAGAGACAAAGGGAUACAACAAGAUAAGUAAUGGUGGGAUGGAGGA